Molecule: ribosomal RNA, 254 nt
Filed under: uncultured Pseudomonas sp.
Lineage: Bacteria; Pseudomonadati; Pseudomonadota; Gammaproteobacteria; Pseudomonadales; Pseudomonadaceae
Description: partial 16S ribosomal RNA
Rfam family: Bacterial small subunit ribosomal RNA
Source: RNAcentral
CGGACGGGUGAGGAAUACAUCGGAAUCUACUCUGUCGUGGGGGAUAACGUAGGGAAACUUACGCUAAUACCGCAUACGUCCUACGGGAGAAAGCAGGGGACCUUCGGGCCUUGCGCUAUCAGAUGAGCCUAGGUCGGAUUAGCUAGUUGGUGAGGUAAUGGCUCACCAAGGCGACGAUCCGUAACUGGUCUGAGAGGAUGAUCAGUCACACUGGAACUGAGACACGGUCCAGACUCCUACGGGAGGCAGCAGAC